Molecule: ribosomal RNA, 253 nt
Filed under: uncultured bacterium
Lineage: Bacteria
Description: partial 16S ribosomal RNA
Rfam family: Bacterial small subunit ribosomal RNA
Source: RNAcentral
UACGUAGGGUGCAAGCGUUAAUCGGAAUUACUGGGCGUAAAGCGUGCGCAGGCGGCUUUGCAAGACAGAUGUGAAAUCCCCGGGCUCAACCUGGGAACUGCAUUUGUGACUGCAAGGCUAGAGUACGGUAGAGGGGGAUGGAAUUCCGCGUGUAGCAGUGAAAUGCGUAGAUAUGCGGAGGAACACCGAUGGCGAAGGCAAUCCCCUGGGCCUGUACUGACGCUCAUGCACGAAAGCGUGGGGAGCAAACAGG